UCCCUUGUGGUGUAACGGCUAGCACACGACGCUCUCACCGUCGAGACCGGGGUUCAACUCCCCGCAAGGGAG
RNAcentral lists this transfer RNA (72 nucleotides) under Metschnikowia aff. pulcherrima. It matches the Rfam family "tRNA". From Rfam's summary of the family: Transfer RNA (tRNA) molecules are approximately 80 nucleotides in length. Their secondary structure includes four short double-helical elements and three loops (D, anti-codon, and T loops). Lineage: Eukaryota; Fungi; Ascomycota; Pichiomycetes; Serinales; Metschnikowiaceae. The record is from Rfam by way of RNAcentral.